RNAcentral lists this ribosomal RNA (869 nucleotides) under fungal sp. mh2414.5.2. RNAcentral describes it as "eukaryotic LSU rRNA". It matches the Rfam family "Eukaryotic large subunit ribosomal RNA", at positions 23 to 909 of the family's 3401-position model. Lineage: Eukaryota; Fungi. The record is from RNAcentral.
ACCCGCUGAACUUAAGCAUAUCAAUAAGCGGAGGAAAAGAAACCAACAGGGAUUACCUCAGUAACGGCGAGUGAAGCGGUAACAGCUCAAAUUUGAAAGCUGGCUCUUUUAGGGUCCGCGUUGUAAUUUGUAGAAGAUGCUUCGGGUGUGGCCCCGGUCUAAGUUCCUUGGAACAGGACGUCAUAGAGGGUGAGAAUCCCGUAUGUGACUGGGUGCUUUCGCUCAUGUGAAGCUCUUUCGACGAGUCGAGUUGUUUGGGAAUGCAGCUCAAAAUGGGUGGUAAAUUUCAUCUAAAGCUAAAUAUUGGCCAGAGACCGAUAGCGCACAAGUAGAGUGAUCGAAAGAUGAAAAGCACUUUGGAAAGAGAGUUAAACAGUACGUGAAAUUGUUGAAAGGGAAGCGCUUGCAACCAGACUUGCGCGCUGAUGAUCAUCCGGGCUUCUGCCCGGUGCACUCGUCUGCGCUCAGGCCAGCAUCGGUUUCGGUGGUGGGAUAAAGGCCUUGGGAAUGUGGCUCCUCUCGGGGAGUGUUAUAGCCCUCGGUGCAAUGCCGCCAACCGGGACCGAGGACCGCGCUUCGGCUAGGAUGCUGGCGUAAUGGUUGUAAGCGACCCGUCUUGAAACACGGACCAAGGAGUCUAACAUCUAUGCGAGUGUUUGGGUGUCAAACCCAUACGCGUAAUGAAAGUGAACGGAGGUGAGAACCCUUAAGGGUGCAUCAUCGACCGAUCCUGAUGUCUUCGGAUGGAUUUGAGUAAGAGCAUAGCUGUUGGGACCCGAAAGAUGGUGAACUAUGCGUGAAUAGGGUGAAGCCAGAGGAAACUCUGGUGGAGGCUCGCAGCGGUUCUGACGUGCAAAUCGAUCGUCAAA